This 137-nucleotide small nuclear RNA is filed under the name Stegodyphus mimosarum. Its description in RNAcentral is "U4 spliceosomal RNA". It matches the Rfam family "U4 spliceosomal RNA". From Rfam's summary of the family: U4 small nuclear RNA (U4 snRNA) is a component of the major U2-dependent spliceosome. The structure of U4 snRNA from yeast and human has been reported. Lineage: Eukaryota; Metazoa; Arthropoda; Arachnida; Araneae; Eresidae. The record is from Rfam by way of RNAcentral.
AGCUUUGCGCAGAGGCAGUGUCAUAGCCAAUGAGGUACUACCGAGGCAUGACUAUUGCUAGUUGAAAACCCUUAUACUCAUAUUAUUUUACUCUUCAGUGCAGUAUUAAAAAAAUAACUAUGGUAUUUACGAUUAAA